UACGUAGGUGGCAAGCGUUGUCCGGAUUUACUGGGCGUAAAGGGCGUGCAGGCGGUUUGUUUAGUCUAGGGUGAAAGCUCCCGGCUUAACUGGGAGAGGUCCUUGGAUACUGGCAAACUUGAGGGAGGCAGAGGAAAGUGGAAUUCCCGGUGUAGUGGUGAUAUGCGUAGAUAUCUGGAGGAACACCGGUGGCGAAGGCGGCAUCCUGGACCGGCAUUGACGCUGAGGCGCGAAAGCUAGGGGAGCAAACGGG
Molecule: ribosomal RNA, 253 nt
Filed under: uncultured bacterium
Lineage: Bacteria
Description: partial 16S ribosomal RNA
Rfam family: Bacterial small subunit ribosomal RNA
Source: RNAcentral